CCUACGGUGGCAGCAGUGGGGAAUAUUUGACAAUGGGCGAAAGCCUGAUCCAGCCAUGCCGCGUGUGUGAAGAAGGCCUUCGGGUUGUAAAGCACUUUCAGUGGGGAAGAAAGCCUUGGGGCUAAUACCCUCGAGGAAGGACAUCACCCACAGAAGAAGCACCGGCUAACUCCGUGCCAGCAGCCGCGGUAAUACGGAGGGUGCGAGCGUUAAUCGGAAUUACUGGGCGUAAAGCGCGCGUAGGCGGUCUGAUAAGCCGGUUGUGAAAGCCCCGGGCUCAACCUGGGAACGGCAUCCGGAACUGUCAGGCUAGAGUGCAGGAGAGGAAGGUAGAAUUCCCGGUGUAGCGGUGAAAUGCGUAGAGAUCGGGAGGAAUACCAGUGGCGAAGGCGGCCUUCUGGACUGACACUGACGCUGAGGUGCGAAAGCGUGGGUAGCAAACAGGAUUAGAUACCCUAGUAGUC
This 464-nucleotide ribosomal RNA is filed under the name Vreelandella stevensii. RNAcentral describes it as "partial 16S ribosomal RNA". It matches the Rfam family "Bacterial small subunit ribosomal RNA", at positions 338 to 795 of the family's 1533-position model. Lineage: Bacteria; Pseudomonadati; Pseudomonadota; Gammaproteobacteria; Oceanospirillales; Halomonadaceae. The record is from RNAcentral.